AACAUGAGGUCUCUUUGCACCAUUUUCUUCUGUAGAUGUCUGAGCAAAAUGGCCGGUUGGAAGCACGUUCACUCAACCCAGCUGUUUUUUCCCAGUGGCUUCCACAGCCCCAUCUGGAGUCACAGCCACAAUGAUCGCCCUCAUCCAUGAAAUGGAAUCAGAAGCUUGAUGGAGACCCAUUUCAGCCCAGCCUUUCCUCCAGCUCACAGUACUCACUAAGUGUCCAGGCAUUGAUGCCCACUGCACAGAGAGGUCAUGGGGAUAGAAGUGCUCAGAAGGAUGCCCAGCACAUAGUAGGUAGCUUAGUAGGAACAGUAUAAGGAUUACAUGCUCAGACUGCAGAGUUUGCCCAGGCCUAGCCUCAAAUCCUGGCUCCUCCAGCACACUUUUUGACUUCGCCUCCCAGACUCAGCCUAAAGUGCUCACCCUGGAGAGGCAACAUGGGCGGCAUUCUGGGGGCUUAGCAGAAUGGAAGCCCACACUGGAGCAGAGCCGGUUACUGAUGGAGUGAGAUUCUUAUGAUCUGAAAAAUGGAGAAAAGCUCUCUGCAAAACUGAAGCUGCAAAGUUAUGAAGAUGGAAAUGUUAUCCACAGGAGCAAGCCUAACCUGGCCCUGUGGAGUGUCACAACUCUGUGAGGGAAUGGCCACAUACCCUGCCACUAGGUUAACUUUCCAAAGUCCCCAGCAGCGUCUCAUCCCUUGCCCAGUGGGGAUUAGAGGUAGGGUGGCCAGCACUCACAAAAUGAGAAAAUCAAAGGUCCCUUUAGCAAUGGCGUGAGCACAGGGCUUAAAGGAGCCAAACAGUGGGCAGCCUCAGCCUAUGGCCCAUAUUCAGAUACUCCAAUUUCUGUAUGGGGGAUAGACCAAAGCGUCCAA
This is a non-coding RNA of Leptonychotes weddellii (Weddell seal), 877 nucleotides long. The record is from RefSeq and is a predicted model, not a curated record. Lineage: Eukaryota; Metazoa; Chordata; Mammalia; Carnivora; Phocidae.